Molecule: ribosomal RNA, 460 nt
Filed under: uncultured bacterium
Lineage: Bacteria
Description: partial 16S ribosomal RNA
Rfam family: Bacterial small subunit ribosomal RNA
Source: RNAcentral
CCUACGGGUGGCAGCAGUGAGGAAUAUUGGUCAAUGGCCGGAAGGCUGAACCAGCCAUGCCGCGUGAAGGUCAGUGCCCUAUGGGCGUUAAACUUCUUUUGUGCGGGAGCAAUAAUGGUCACGUGUGGCCAGACGAGAGUACCGUACGAAUAAGCAUCGGCUAACUCCGUGCCAGCAGCCGCGGUAAUACGGGGGAUGCAAGCGUUAUCCGGAUUUAUUGGGUUUAAAGGGUGCGUAGGCUGUGAGGUAAGUCAGCGGUGAAAUGCCCCCGCUCAACGGGGUGAAGUGCCAUUGAUACUGGCUGGCUGGAAUGCGGAUGCCGUGGGAGGAAUGUGUGGUGUAGCGGUGAAAUGCAUAGAUAUCACACAGAACACCGAUUGCGAAUGCAUCUCACGAAUCCGCGAUUGACGCUGAUGCACGAAAGCGUGGGUAUCAAACAGGAUUAGAUACCCUUGUAGUC